CCUACGGGUGGCAGCAGUGAGGAAUAUUGGUCAAUGGCCGGAAGGCUGAACCAGCCAUGCCGCGUGAAGGUCAGUGCCCUAUGGGCGUUAAACUUCUUUUGUGCGGGAGCAAUAAUGGUCACGUGUGGCCAGACGAGAGUACCGUACGAAUAAGCAUCGGCUAACUCCGUGCCAGCAGCCGCGGUAAUAAGGGGGAUGCAAGCGUUAUCCGGGUUUAUUGGGUUUAAAGGGGGCGUAGGCUGUGAUGUAAGUCAGCGGUGAAAUGCCCCCGCUCAACGGGGUGAAGUGCCAUUGAUACUGUCGUGCUAGAAUGCGGAUGCCGUGGGAGGAAUGUGUGGUGUAGCGGUGAAAUGCAUAGAGAUCACACAGAACACCGAUUGCGAAGGCAUCUCACGAAUCCGCGAUUGACGCUGAUGCACGAAAGCGUGGGUAGCAAACAGGAUUAGAUACCCUUGUAGUC
This 460-nucleotide ribosomal RNA is filed under the name uncultured bacterium. RNAcentral describes it as "partial 16S ribosomal RNA". It matches the Rfam family "Bacterial small subunit ribosomal RNA", at positions 338 to 795 of the family's 1533-position model. The record is from RNAcentral.